AUACGGAGGGAGCGAGCGUUAAUCGGAAUUACUGGGCGUAAAGCGCGCGUAGGCGGCUAAUUAAGUCAAAUGUGAAAUCCCCGAGCUUAACUUGGGAAUUGCAUUCGAUACUGGUUAGCUAGAGUGUGGGAGAGGAUGGUAGAAUUCCAGGUGUAGCGGUGAAAUGCGUAGAGAUCUGGAGGAAUACCGAUGGCGAAGGCAGCCAUCUGGCCUAACACUGACGCUGAGGUGCGAAAGCAUGGGGAGCAAACAGGAUUAGAAACCCCAGUAGUCC
RNAcentral lists this ribosomal RNA (274 nucleotides) under uncultured bacterium. RNAcentral describes it as "partial 16S ribosomal RNA". It matches the Rfam family "Bacterial small subunit ribosomal RNA", at positions 523 to 796 of the family's 1533-position model. The record is from RNAcentral.